Molecule: unclassified non-coding RNA, 157 nt
Filed under: uncultured fungus
Lineage: Eukaryota; Fungi
Description: sequence contains ITS1, 5.8S rRNA gene
Source: RNAcentral
CAGAGAAUCUGCCUCCGGGCAAUCUCCCACCCUUUGUUUAUCUUACCUUUGUUGCUUUGGCAGGCCCGCCCUUGGGCCACCGGCUCCGGCUGGUCAGUGUCUGCCAGAGGACCCCAAACUCAUGUUUAAUUGUCGUCUGAGUACUAUAUAAUAGUUA